GACAGAGGCCUCGAGCGUUAGGCGGAAUCACUGGGCUUAAAGCGUGUGUAGGCGGAUCGUUAAGUACCUUGUGAAAUCCCACGGCUCAACCGUGGAACGGCUGGGUAUACUGGCGGUCUUGGGCCAUUCAGGGGCGACUGGAACAAGCGGUGGAGCGGUGAAAUGCGUAGAUAUCGGGAAGAACACCCGUGGCGAAGGCGGUUCUCUGGGACGGUACUGACGCUGAGACGCGAAAGCGUGGGAGGCGAA
This 249-nucleotide ribosomal RNA is filed under the name uncultured bacterium. Its description in RNAcentral is "partial 16S ribosomal RNA". It matches the Rfam family "Bacterial small subunit ribosomal RNA", at positions 524 to 772 of the family's 1533-position model. The record is from RNAcentral.